Molecule: ribosomal RNA, 253 nt
Filed under: uncultured bacterium
Lineage: Bacteria
Description: partial 16S ribosomal RNA
Rfam family: Bacterial small subunit ribosomal RNA
Source: RNAcentral
UACGGGGGGGGUAAGCGUUGUUCGGAAUUACUGGGCGUAAAGGGCUCGUAGGCGGCCAACUAAGUCGGAUGUGAAAUCCCCAGGCUUAACCUGGGAACUGCAUCCGAUACUGGAUGGCUUGAAUCCGGGAGAGGGAUGCAGAAUUCCAGGUGUAGCGGUGAAAUGCGUAGAUAUCAUGAGGAAUACCAGAGGCGAAGGCGGCUACCUGGACAAUUGCUGACGCUCAGGCACGAAAGCGUGGGGAGCAAAAGGG